Molecule: ribosomal RNA, 496 nt
Filed under: uncultured bacterium
Lineage: Bacteria
Description: bacterial SSU rRNA
Rfam family: Bacterial small subunit ribosomal RNA
Source: RNAcentral
AACGAACGCUGGCGGCGCGCCUAAUACAUGCAAGUCGAGCGAGAAGGUGUAGCAAUACACUUGUAAAGCGGCGAACGGGUGAGGAAUACAUGGGUAAUCUACCAUCGAGUGGGGAAUAACCAACCGAAAGGUUGGCUAAUACCGCGUACGCCUCCGAGUCUUCGGGUUCGGAGGGAAAGCUGCACUGUGAGUGUAGCGCUCUUUGAUGAGCUCAUGUCCUAUCAGCUUGUUGGUAGGGUAACGGCCUACCAAGGCUUUGACGGGUAGCUGGUCUGAGAGGACGAUCAGCCACACUGGCACUGCGACACGGGGCCAGACUCCUACGGGAGGCAGCAGUAAGGAAUAUUGCGCAAUGGGCGAAAGCCUGACGCAGCGACGCCGCGUGGGGGAUGAAGGUCUUCGGAUUGUAAACCCCUUUCGGGAGGGAAGAUGGAACGAGCAAUCGUUCGGACGGUACCUCCAGAAGCAGCCACGGCCAACUUCGUGCCAGCAGCCG